GAUGAAGAACGCAGCGAAAUGCGAUAAGUAGUGUGAAUUGCAGAAUUCAGUGAAUCAUCGAAUCUUUGAACGCACAUUGCGCCCAUUAGUAUUCUAAUGGGCAUGCCUGUUCGAGCGUCAUUAUAACCACUCAAGCUCUCGCUUGGUAUUGGGGUUCGCGGUUCCGCGGCCCCUAAAAUCAGUGGCGGUGCCUGUCGGCUCUACGCGUAGUAAUACUCCUCGCGAUUGAGUCCGGUAGGUCUACUUGCCAGCAACCCCCAAUUUUUACAGGUUGACCUCGGAUCAGGUAGGGAUACCCGCUGAACUUAAGCAUAUCAAUAAGCGGAGGA
Molecule: unclassified non-coding RNA, 329 nt
Filed under: soil metagenome
Description: partial contains 5.8S ribosomal RNA, internal transcribed spacer 2, and large subunit ribosomal RNA
Rfam family: 5.8S ribosomal RNA (bases 1-120)
Source: RNAcentral